Molecule: non-coding RNA, 949 nt
Filed under: Paralichthys lethostigma (southern flounder)
Lineage: Eukaryota; Metazoa; Chordata; Actinopteri; Pleuronectiformes; Paralichthyidae
Description: 12S ribosomal RNA
Rfam family: Bacterial small subunit ribosomal RNA
Source: RNAcentral
CAAAGGCUUGGUCCUGACUUUACUGUCGACUCUAACUAGACUUACACAUGCAAGUAUCCGCCCCCCUGUGAGAAUGCCCAUAACUCCCUGCUUGGGAACAAGGAGCUGGCAUCAGGCACAGACCCCUCUAGCCCACGACGCCUUGCUUUGCCACACCCUCAAGGGAACUCAGCAGUGAUAAAUAUUAAGCUAUAAGUGCAAACUUGACUUAGUUAAAGUUAAGAGGGCCGGUAAAACUCGUGCCAGCCACCGCGGUUAUACGAGAGGCCCAAGUUGACAGACAGCGGCGUAAAGGGUGGUUAGGGGAUUAUCCAAACUAAAGCCGAACGCUCUCAGAACUGUUAUAAGUACCCGAGAGUAUGAAACUCAAUCACGAAAGUAGCUUUAUUUACCCUGAACCCACGAAAGCUAAGGAACAAACUGGGAUUAGAUACCCCACUAUGCUUAGCCCUAAACAUCGAUUGUACAGUACAUUCAACAUCCGCCUGGGGAUUACGAACAUUAGUUUAAAACCCAAAGGACUUGGCGGUGCUUAACAUCCACCUAGAGGAGCCUGUUCUAGAACCGAUAACCCCCGUUAAACCUCACCCUCUCUUGCUUUUUUCCGCCUAUAUACCACCGUCGUCAGCUUACCCUGUGAAGGCUUAACAGUAAGCAAAGUUGGCAAAGCCCAAAACGUCAGGUCGAGGUGUAGUGAAUGAGAGGGGAAGAAAUGGGCUACAUUUGCUAAGACUAGCAAAUACGAACGAUGCAUUGAAAUAUGCAACUGAAGGAGGAUUUAGCAGUAAGCAGGGAAUAGAGUGCCCCGCUGAAACUGGCCCUAAAGCGCGCACACACCGCCCGUCACCCUCCCCGAGCCCCCAAGACUAAACUAACUAAAAACAACUACCCGCGAAGGGGAGGAAAGUCGUAACAUGGUAAGUGUACCGGAAGGUGUACUUGGAAAAAU